UCGUCUGCGGAGUGCCAGCGG
This 21-nucleotide unclassified non-coding RNA is filed under the name Chlamydomonas reinhardtii. RNAcentral describes it as "small RNA Cre_2747". The record is from RNAcentral. Lineage: Eukaryota; Viridiplantae; Chlorophyta; Chlorophyceae; Chlamydomonadales; Chlamydomonadaceae.